RNAcentral lists this ribosomal RNA (459 nucleotides) under uncultured bacterium. Its description in RNAcentral is "partial 16S ribosomal RNA". It matches the Rfam family "Bacterial small subunit ribosomal RNA", at positions 338 to 795 of the family's 1533-position model. The record is from RNAcentral.
GCUACGGGAGGCAGCAGUGAGGAAUAUUGGUCAAUGGCCGAGAGGCUGAACCAGCCAAGUCGCGUGAGGGAAGACGGCCCUACGGGUUGUAAACCUCUUUUGUCGGGGAGCAAAGCGAACCACGUCUGGUUCAUUGAGAGUACCCGAAGACAAAGCAUCGGCUAACUCCGUGCCAGCAUCCGCGGUAAUACGGAGGGUGCGAGCGUUAUCCGGAUUUAUUGGGUUUAAAGGGUGCGCAGGCGGAGGUGCAAGUCAGCGGUAAAAUUGCGGGGCUCAACCCCGUACUGCCGUUGAAACUGCAUCCCUUGAGUGCGCGAGAGGUAUGCGGAAUGCGUGGUGUAGCGGUGAAAGGCAUAGAUAUCACGCAGAACUCCGAGUGCGAAGGCAGAAUACCGGCGCGCAACUGACGCUCAUGCACGAAAGCGUGGGUAUCGAACAGGAGUAGAUACCCCUGUAGUC